Molecule: ribosomal RNA, 468 nt
Filed under: uncultured bacterium
Lineage: Bacteria
Description: partial 16S ribosomal RNA
Rfam family: Bacterial small subunit ribosomal RNA
Source: RNAcentral
GACGAACGCUGGCGGCGUGCUUAACACAUGCAAGUCGAACGGAAAGGCCCUGCUUUUGUGGGGUGCUCGAGUGGCGAACGGGUGAGUAACACGUGAGUAACCUGCCCUUGACUUUGGGAUAACCUCAGGAAACUGGGGCUAAUACCGGAUAGGAGCUCCUGCUGCAUGGUGGGGGUUGGAAAGUUUCGGCGGUUGGGGAUGGACUCGCGGCUUAUCAGCAUGUUGGUGGGGUAGUGGCUUACCAAGGCUUUGACGGGUAGCCGGCCUGAGAGGGUGACCGGCCACAUUGGGACUGAGAUACGGCCCAGACUCCUACGGGAGGCAGCAGUGGGGAAUAUUGCACAAUGGGCGGAAGCCUGAUGCAGCAACGCCGCGUGCGGGAUGACGGCCUUCGGGUUGUAAACCGCUUUCGCCUGUGACGAAGCGUGAGUGACGGUAAUGGGUAAAGAAGCACCGGCUAACUACGUG